This 426-nucleotide ribosomal RNA is filed under the name uncultured Chloroflexota bacterium. Its description in RNAcentral is "bacterial SSU rRNA". It matches the Rfam family "Bacterial small subunit ribosomal RNA", at positions 930 to 1497 of the family's 1533-position model. The record is from RNAcentral. Lineage: Bacteria; Bacillati; Chloroflexota.
CAGCGGAGCGUGUGGUUUAAUUCGAUGCAACACGAAGAACCUUACCCAGGUUUGACAUGGACCUGCAAGCGCCGGAAACGCUCCUUGGUGCAGGUGUGACGAGCGCAACCCCUGUCCGGUGUUAGGGAUGUCAAGUCGCAUGGCCCUUACACCUGGGCUACAUACAUGGCCAGCCACGUAGGUCGCGAACCCGUAAGGGGGAGCAGCCCUAAAACUGGUCUUAGUGCAGAUCGAGGUGCAACCCGCCCUCGUGAAGAUGGAGUUGCUAGUAACGGGUAUCAGCAAGGCGCCGUGAAUGCGUACCCGGGCCUUGUACACACCGCCGUCACGUCAUGGGAGUGGGCAAUGCCUGAAGUCCGUGGGCCAACCCGCAAGGGGGGCAGCGGCCGAGGCAGGGUUCGCGACUGGGACGAAGUCGUACAAGGU